GACGAACGCUGGCGGCGUGCCUAAUACAUGCAAGUCGAACGCUUCUUUCCUCCCGAGUGCUUGCACUCAAUUGGAAAGAGGAGUGGCGGACGGGUGAGUAACACGUGGGUAACCUACCCAUCAGAGGGGGAUAACACUUGGAAACAGGUGCUAAUACCGCAUAACAGUUUAUGCCGCAUGGCAUCAGAGUGAAAGGCGCUUUCGGGUGUCGCUGAUGGUUGGACCCGCGGUGCAUUAGCUAGUUGGUGAGGUAACGGCUCACCAGGGCCACGAUGCAUAGCCGACCUGAGAGGGUGAUCGGCCAAACUAGGACUGAGACACGGCCAAGACUCCUACGGGAGGCAGCAGUAGGGAAUCUUCGGCAAUGGACGAAAGUCUGACCGAGCAACGCCGCGUGAGUGAAGAAGGUUUUCGGAUCGUAAAACUCUGUUGUUAGAGAAGAACAAGGACGUUAGUAACUGAACGUCCCCUGACGGUAUCUAACCAGAAAGCCACGGCUAACUACGUG
This 508-nucleotide ribosomal RNA is filed under the name uncultured bacterium. Its description in RNAcentral is "partial 16S ribosomal RNA". It matches the Rfam family "Bacterial small subunit ribosomal RNA", at positions 28 to 507 of the family's 1533-position model. The record is from RNAcentral.